UGCACACAUGACUAUGAGUCGCUUUGGAUAAAAGCAUCUGCUAAAUGGUAUAUA
This is a non-coding RNA of Salmo salar (Atlantic salmon), 54 nucleotides long. Lineage: Eukaryota; Metazoa; Chordata; Actinopteri; Salmoniformes; Salmonidae. The record is from Rfam.